Molecule: ribosomal RNA, 495 nt
Filed under: uncultured bacterium
Lineage: Bacteria
Description: partial 16S ribosomal RNA
Rfam family: Bacterial small subunit ribosomal RNA
Source: RNAcentral
GACGAACGCUGGCGGCGUGCCUAAUACAUGCAAGUAGAACGCUGAAGGAGGAGCUUGCUUCUCUGGAUGAGUUGCGAACGGGUGAGUAACGCGUAGGUAACCUGCCUGGUAGCGGGGGAUAACUCUUGGAAACGAUAGCUAAUACCGCAUAAGAGUAGAUGUUGCAUGACAUUUGCUUAAAAGGUGCAAUUGCAUCACUACCAGAUGGACCUGCGUUGUAUUAGCUAGUUGGUGGGGUAACGGCUCACCAAGGCGACGAUACAUAGCCGACCUGAGAGGGUGAUCGGCCACACUGGGACUGAGACACGGCCCAGACUCCUACGGGAGGCAGCAGUAGGGAAUCGUCGGCAAUGGACGGAAGUCUGACCGAGCAACGCCGCGUGAGUGAAGAAGGUUGUCGGAUCGUAAAGCUCUGUUGUAAGAGAAGAACGAGUGUGAGAGUGGAAAGUUCACACUGUGACGGUAUCUGACCAGAAAGGGACGGCUAACUACGUG